GGCGCGGUAGACGAAUUGGAAGAGUCGCCCGGCUUUCACCCGGGACAUGUUGCGGGUUCAAGUCCCGUCCGCGCUGCCA
This 79-nucleotide transfer RNA is filed under the name Rugosimonospora africana. RNAcentral describes it as "tRNA-Glu". It matches the Rfam family "tRNA". Rfam says of the family: Transfer RNA (tRNA) molecules are approximately 80 nucleotides in length. Lineage: Bacteria; Bacillati; Actinomycetota; Actinomycetes; Micromonosporales; Micromonosporaceae. The record is from RNAcentral.